UAAAGUCAAUUGUCUAGGGGCUUUAUUUGCUUCUUUAACUAUAGAAGUAUUCUCCCUGAUCCCAAUCGCUGUUCCCUUCCCAGCUGUUGGUGAUUUUGUCUUGAAUGCCUGCCAUGCCUGGACGCCGUAUUUGCCAGCAUGAGAGGCAGCAGCCACUGCAUUUGCCGCCAUUAAUAGUGCAACCCAGUGAGAUCGGGAGAGACCCUUCCUGUUGAGUUAGUGCAGUUCAGUGGCAGAAUCGAUAGGGAUAUUCUCCGUCGCAUGCAGAAGAAGUGGAAAAAUGUGAUGAUAGAAAGAGAAAUAGACAGAGAUUGGGAAAGCAGUCAAUGUUGACGGUGAGGAACGUAAUAAUGGUGACGGCCGCGGCUAUCGGAGAAGGGAAUUUUAUGUAGCGUAGCAGUUGUGGAGGGUUAAAAUGGAUAUGGCGGUGCCUGCGGAUAGCCGUUGAGUGGCCGUUGGCCGUGUAGGGCGGGUUUAGAGGGAGCGGGGCUAGAGAGCGAGAGAGAGAGAGAGAGAGAG
Molecule: unclassified non-coding RNA, 519 nt
Filed under: Hevea brasiliensis (rubber tree)
Lineage: Eukaryota; Viridiplantae; Streptophyta; Magnoliopsida; Malpighiales; Euphorbiaceae
Source: RNAcentral